RNAcentral lists this ribosomal RNA (497 nucleotides) under uncultured bacterium. RNAcentral describes it as "partial 16S ribosomal RNA". It matches the Rfam family "Bacterial small subunit ribosomal RNA", at positions 28 to 507 of the family's 1533-position model. The record is from RNAcentral.
GAUGAACGCUGGCGGCGUGCCUAAUACAUGCAAGUCGAGCGAACAGAUGAGGAGCUUGCUCCUCUGACGUUAGCGGCGGACGGGUGAGUAACACGUGGAUAACCUACCUAUAAGACUGGGAUAACUUCGGGAAACCGGAGCUAAUACCAGAUAAUAUAUUGAACCGCAUGGUUCAAUAGUGAAAGACGGUUUUGCUGUCACUUAUAGAUGGAUCCGCGCCGCAUUAGCUAGUUGGUAAGGUAACGGCUUACCAAGGCAACGAUGCGUAGCCGACCUGAGAGGGGGAUCGGCCACACUGGAACUGAGACACGGUCCAGACUCCUACGGGAGGCAGCAGUAGGGAAUCGUCCGCAAUGGGCGAAAGCCUGACGGAGCAACGCCGCGUGAGUGAUGAAGGUCUUCGGAUCGUAAAACUCUGUUAUUAGGGAAGAACAAAUGUGUAAGUAACUAUGCACGUCUUGACGGUACCUAAUCAGAAAGCCACGGCUAACUACGUG